GCUACUUUUUUAAAAAAAAAGUUAAGUAAAGGUACUGAGAUUGUUUUGUCUGCUAUAAAUGAUUUUUCCAGACAGAGAUGGCAGACUCUUCAACUUCUUGCAUCGGGAUUUGGUAGGUUUCAGCUCGGCUGCAGUACUCAGAUGUCUGAUUCUGACUGUUUCACCUUGGAAAACUGAGGACCGAGGCUGUGGUGGAUGCACGCGUUUACCUUUUUGCUGGAUUUUGAUUGAAUUUCUGGGUUGCUUGCUUUCUUGUAGUGCUUGCUGCUCCUGCUGUUGUUAUUAGCCUAUCUCCCUUAUUAUACCAGGAAACCUGGAGUGGAGCCACAGCUUUGCAAAGAAUAGUUACUAAUCUCUCAGAGCUCAGGAGAAAGUAGCAGAGAAUACACCUCUGUACUGGAGGAGAAUGGAGCAUCUCUUCAGGUGAAGGUGUCACACUGUUGAAUAGAAGGACUUCUCGCAAAAACUGACUUAUCUUCAGAACAUAGCAUUGCUCAAGGGAGUUGCCUUGAAUGUUUCGUACAGUUCACUUUUUAAGAAAGAGAAGAGAUAGCGUUUCUGAGAACACUAUGAAAGUAACUCUGUUGGGAGACAUCACUAUCAUUCAUCUAGAAACAGUUCUCUCAGUUAACAUGUUCUGUCUGUUGUUGAUUUCCAUAGUUCUGCAGUGUGUCAUUUAAUGUGA
Molecule: long non-coding RNA, 685 nt
Organism: Protopterus annectens (West African lungfish)
Lineage: Eukaryota; Metazoa; Chordata; Ceratodontiformes; Protopteridae
Exons: 3
Source: RefSeq, a predicted model, not a curated record